This 100-nucleotide ribosomal RNA is filed under the name uncultured bacterium. Its description in RNAcentral is "partial 16S ribosomal RNA". It matches the Rfam family "Bacterial small subunit ribosomal RNA", at positions 1384 to 1482 of the family's 1533-position model. The record is from RNAcentral.
UACACACCGCCCGUCACACCAUGGGAGUCGGCUUUACCUGAAGACGGUGCGCUAACCGCAAGGAGGCAGCCGGCCACGGUAGGGUCAGCGACGUGGGGUG